UUGCAGGAGUUCGCCAACCUCUGGGAGAUGGUUGCCGGUGUCACUCUAAGCCAAGAUAGACAAAACACUAUUUCGUGGAAAUUCACAACCAACAGAGAGUACACGACAUCCUCGGCUUACUUGGCGCAAUUUGCGGGACUCACCUACAGUAUCAAUACUUCCAUGAUCUGGAAGAUGUGGGCUCCUCCCAAAUGCAAGUUCUUUGGUUGGCUAGUUCUCCAGAACCGAGUCUGGACGGCCCAUCGCUUGUCUCGACGGGGAUGGCCCAAUUGCAACCUUUGCCUCCUUUGCAAGCAAGUUCAAGAAUCUGCUGCACACCUACUAUUUCAGUGUAGAUUCACGAAUAGAGUUUGA
RNAcentral lists this ribosomal RNA (354 nucleotides) under Triticum aestivum (bread wheat). RNAcentral's name for it is "partial small subunit ribosomal RNA". Lineage: Eukaryota; Viridiplantae; Streptophyta; Magnoliopsida; Poales; Poaceae. The record is from RNAcentral.